CCUACGGGUGGCUGCAGUGGGGAAUAUUGGACAAUGGGCGAAAGCCUGAUCCAGCCAUGCCGCGUGUGUGAAGAAGGCCUUCGGGUUGUAAAGCACUUUCAGUGGGGAAGAAAGCCUUGGGGCUAAUACCCUCGAGGAAGGACAUCACCCACAGAAGAAGCACCGGCUAACUCCGUGCCAGCAGCCGCGGUAAUACGGAGGGUGCGAGCGUUAAUCGGAAUUACUGGGCGUAAAGCGCGCGUAGGCGGUCUGAUAAGCCGGUUGUGAAAGCCCCGGGCUCAACCUGGGAACGGCAUCCGGAACUGUCAGGCUAGAGUGCAGGAGAGGAAGGUAGAAGUCCCGGUGUAGCGGUGAAAUGCGUAGAGAUCGGGAGGAAUACCAGUGGCGAAGGCGGCCUUCUGGACUGACACUGACGCUGAGGUGCGAAAGCGUGGGUAGCAAACAGGAUUAGAUACCCCGGUAGUC
RNAcentral lists this ribosomal RNA (465 nucleotides) under Vreelandella stevensii. Its description in RNAcentral is "partial 16S ribosomal RNA". It matches the Rfam family "Bacterial small subunit ribosomal RNA", at positions 338 to 795 of the family's 1533-position model. Lineage: Bacteria; Pseudomonadati; Pseudomonadota; Gammaproteobacteria; Oceanospirillales; Halomonadaceae. The record is from RNAcentral.